RNAcentral lists this long non-coding RNA (647 nucleotides) under Dasypus novemcinctus (nine-banded armadillo). RNAcentral's name for it is "lncRNA (ENSDNOG00000051982.1)". The record is from RNAcentral. Lineage: Eukaryota; Metazoa; Chordata; Mammalia; Cingulata; Dasypodidae.
GUCCUCGGCCUGCUUCCCGGACUGCUUCCUCUCGGCCAUGGCGCGGGGGCUCGGGGGCUCGGGGGAGGGAGCUCUCCGUCAGUCCGUCCGUCCGUCUACCGGUCGCUAAAUCUCCCUCUCUGUGCAAAAAUCCCCUGGUUGCUACAGCGACUGUCGCUUUCUGCCCACCGCAAGGUGUACAGAAAGGAAGGAGGGCUCUCGAGCGGGCGUCCCACCCCUCGCAGUCCCUCCCCCUGACCCGGCUUUCUCCCCCUCUCUGCCCACGCCCCCCGCAGCCGCGCGAGCUCCGACGAGCCGCGAAGUUCGGCCCGGGAGGCGGCCGCUGCGGCAGCGGGAGCCGAGUGGCUGCCAGUUCCCGAAAGCGGGGGUACGAGGGGAGGCGCGGGCGGGGCGCGGGGCCGGGGCGGGGAGGCGGGGGAGGGCCGCGCCGCGCACAGCCCCGCGCUCCGGAAGUGAAGCGGCCAGACCCCCGGCUAAUGGAUGCGGAGCGGAGGACCCGCUGGCCGCUCGCGGGCGCCUGGGCAGCGUGGUUGGAGCUAAGACUAAGACACACCAUCGUUGGAGAUGAGUGACACCUUCCUGUGCUAGAAGCAGGAUAAAUAAGCUUUUUGACUCAUGGAACAUUCUGGGACACAGCAACAGGUAUC